Molecule: ribosomal RNA, 478 nt
Filed under: uncultured bacterium
Lineage: Bacteria
Description: partial 16S ribosomal RNA
Rfam family: Bacterial small subunit ribosomal RNA
Source: RNAcentral
GACGAACGCUGGCGGCGUGCUUAACACAUGCAAGUCGAACGGGAUUUCGUAAACAGAACCCUCGGUGGAAGAUUACUAAUGAGAGUGGCGAACGGGUGAGUAACGCGUGAGCAACCUGCCUAUGACAGUGGGAUAGCCUCGGGAAACCGGGAUUAAUACCGCAUAAAAUCGUAGAAACACAUGUUUUAACGGUCAAAGAUUUAUCGGUCAUAGAUGGGCUCGCGUCUGAUUAGCUAGUUGGUGAGAUAACAGCCCACCAAGGCGACGAUCAGUAGCCGGUCUGAGAGGAUGAGCGGACACAUUGGAACUGGGACACGGUCCAAACUCCUACGGGAGGCAGCAGUGGGGAAUAUUGCACAAUGGGGGAAACCCUGAUGCAGCGACGCCGCGUGAACGAAGAAGGUAUUCGUAUCGUAAAGUUCUGUCCUAUGGGAAGAUAAUGACAGUACCAUAGAAGAAAGCUCCGGCUAAAUACGUG